GGUUGUGGCUCAGUGGUAGAGUGCUUGCCUAGCAUGUUUAAGUACUGGGUUUGAACCCUAGCACCA
RNAcentral lists this transfer RNA (66 nucleotides) under Marmota monax (woodchuck). RNAcentral's name for it is "tRNA.Ala". Lineage: Eukaryota; Metazoa; Chordata; Mammalia; Rodentia; Sciuridae. The record is from RNAcentral.